RNAcentral lists this ribosomal RNA (482 nucleotides) under uncultured bacterium. Its description in RNAcentral is "partial 16S ribosomal RNA". It matches the Rfam family "Bacterial small subunit ribosomal RNA", at positions 28 to 507 of the family's 1533-position model. The record is from RNAcentral.
GACGAACGCUGGCGGCGUGCUUAACACAUGCAAGUCGAACGCUGAAGCUCAGCUUGCUGGGUGGAUGAGUGGCGAACGGGUGAGUAACACGUGAGUAACCUGCCCUCUUCUUUGGGAUAACGCCCGGAAACGGGUGCUAAUACUGGAUAUUCACUGAUUCUCGCAUGGGGGUUGGUGGAAAGGUUUUUUCUGGUGGGGGAUGGGCUCGCGGCCUAUCAGCUUGUUGGUGGGGUGAUGGCCUACCAAGGCUUUGACGGGUAGCCGGCCUGGGAGGGUGACCGGUCACAUUGGGACUGGGAUACGGCCCAGACUCCUACGGGAGGCAGCAGUGGGGAAUAUUGCACAAUGGGCGAAAGCCUGAUGCAGCGACGCCGCGUGAGGGAUGGAGGCCUUCGGGUUGUAAACCUCUUUCGCUCAUGGUCAAGCCGCAGCUUUGGGUUGUGGUGAGGGUAGUGGGUAAAGAAGCGCCGGCUAACUACGUG